CCUACGGGGGGCAGCAGUAGGGAAUUUUCCACAAUGGGCGAAAGCCUGAUGGAGCAACGCCGCGUGCAGGAUGAAGGCCUUCGGGUUGUAAACUGCUUUUGUUUGUGACGCGGUAACAAGCGAAUAAGGGUCUGCUAACUACGUGCCAGCAGCCGCGGUCAUACGUGGGACCCAAGCGUUAUCCGGAAUUACUGGGCGUAAAGAGUGCGUAGGUGGCGGAGUAAGUAGGUAGUGAAAUUGUGUGGCUCAACCAUACACCCAUUAUCUAAACUGCUCAGCUAGAGCAUGGAAGAGGUAGCUGGAAUUUCUAGUGUAGGAGUGAAAUCCGUAGAUAUUAGAAGGAACACCGAUGGCGUAGGCAGGCUACUGGUCCAUGUGACACUAAGGCACGAAAGCGUGGGGAGCGAACUGGAUUAGAUACCCUUGUAGUC
This 431-nucleotide ribosomal RNA is filed under the name uncultured bacterium. Its description in RNAcentral is "partial 16S ribosomal RNA". It matches the Rfam family "Bacterial small subunit ribosomal RNA", at positions 338 to 795 of the family's 1533-position model. The record is from RNAcentral.